This 465-nucleotide ribosomal RNA is filed under the name Vreelandella stevensii. Its description in RNAcentral is "partial 16S ribosomal RNA". It matches the Rfam family "Bacterial small subunit ribosomal RNA", at positions 338 to 795 of the family's 1533-position model. Lineage: Bacteria; Pseudomonadati; Pseudomonadota; Gammaproteobacteria; Oceanospirillales; Halomonadaceae. The record is from RNAcentral.
CCUACGGGUGGCAGCAGUGGGGAAUAUUGGACAAUGGGGGGAACCCUGAUCCAGCCAUGCCGCGUGUGUGAAGAAGGCCCUCGGGUUGUAAAGCACUUUCAGUGAGGAAGAACGCCUGGUGGUUAAUACCCUUCAGGAAAGACAUCACUCACAGAAGAAGCACCGGCUAACUCCGUGCCAGCAGCCGCGGUAAUACGGAGGGUGCGAGCGUUAAUCGGAAUUACUGGGCGUAAAGCGCGCGUAGGUGGCUUGAUAAGCCGGUUGUGAAAGCCCCGGGCUCAACCUGGGAACGGCAUCCGGAACUGUCAAGCUAGAGUGCAGGAGAGGAAGGUAGAAUUCCCGGUGUAGCGGUGAAAUGCGUAGAGAUCGGGAGGAAUACCAGUGGCGAAGGCGGCCUUCUGGACUGACACUGACACUGAGGUGCGAAAGCGUGGGUAGCAAACAGGAUUAGAUACCCUUGUAGUC